Molecule: ribosomal RNA, 497 nt
Filed under: uncultured bacterium
Lineage: Bacteria
Description: partial 16S ribosomal RNA
Rfam family: Bacterial small subunit ribosomal RNA
Source: RNAcentral
GAUGAACGCUGGUGGCGUGCCUAAUACAUGCAAGUCGAGCGAACGGACGAGAAGCUUGCUUUUCUGAUGUUAGCGGCGGACGGGUGAGUAACACGUGGAUAACCUACCUAUAAGACUGGGAUAACUUCGGGAAACCGGAGCUAAUACCGGAUAAUAUUUUGAACCGCAUGGUUCAAAAGUGAAAGACGGUCCUGCUGUCACUUAUAGAUGGAUCCGCGCUGCAUUAGCUAGUUGGUAAGGUAACGGCUUACCAAGGCAACGAUGCAUAGCCGACCUGAGAGGGUGAUCGGCCACACUGGAACUGAGACACGGUCCAGACUCCUACGGGAGGCAGCAGUAGGGAAUCUUCCGCAAUGGGCGAAAGCCUGACGGAGCAACGCCGCGUGAGUGAUGAAGGUCUUCGGAUCGUAAAACUCUGUUAUUAGGGAAGAACAUAUGUGUAAGUAACUGUGCACAUCUUGACGGUACCUAAUCAGAAAGCCACGGCUAACUACGUG